CGCCCGUAGUCAACCUCGCACGAGGUGGCGCAAGCACCAGAGACUUUAAAAGGCAAAAGAAGAGGUGGAUAAAAAUCGUGCCGGUGCAACCAGCGGUCCUUCGGCGAAGCCACGCUUAGAGCAAGCUGCAACAUGCUCAAGAAGAAGACCAAGCAAUUGGCCGCGGACUUGAACCGCCUGGACGGCGAAGCGGAGCCCGAUAUGAUUGCGCUCACCGGCAGCUCGGCCUGUGUCUCUAGCUGGAUCGAGCAAGACAUACAGGAGACGAGCUGCUCGACCGAGCCAAUGUUUCCCGGAGCACCAAAGAAGCACAAAGUGAAGGAACCGAAACUGGAACAGCCCCAACGGCAACGCGGUCGGCGUUCUCUGUCCCCGUCGUCUGUAGCGGAGGUGCCGGAGGGCCUUCGGCACUGCGUCCUGAACAUACACAGCCCGGCACCAAAAGGAAGGCGACAGCAGUGGUACGCCAUGUGGUUCGUCCAGGUGUCGGUCGUAGUCGUGGCGCUGAUGGUGGCCACUUCCAUCGCCCUGGUGUUCACGCUGCGUGACGCCGAUGUCCAGGAUGAAGAAGGUGGUCGACACUUGGAGGACUACGGCAGUUACUCCAUUGCCGAUGGGAAAAAAACAUUUGAUCCCGCCAUAAAUGAACGCCACAGCGCCCACGACCAGGGCCAAGGCCCUCGGACUGAUGGCAGGAAGAACGUGCACGAAGCUGAGCCAGCCAUACCAGUUGUCGGUUCCCCUCCCACAGGAAGCAUCGAAAGCGGCGGAUCCUCGACGUCCCCAAUCGAAGACAUUGUGCCGAGUUCGCCAGCUUCUGCCGCGGUCAUAUGGCUAGAAGGCGGAGGUUUCGUGCGAGUGCGUGCGCAGGCUCUUACGUGGCCUCCACCAGAUGGCGCUUCCGAACUGGAUGGGGGACGUCGACGCCCUCGUGCGUCGGCUGGCGAGAAGGGACGUUCUGCGGUGGCGAGAGGCGCAGACGACUUUUCGUCGUCUGCUCUGGGUGAAGGUAAAGAAGACACGUCUCGCGCAAGGAGCGGCAGAAGCCUGAAAAGAUUGGACCGAAAGGCUAUAGCAAAGAAAAAAGAACUUAUGGAGCUCUUGAGAAACUGAAACAACCUGCCGUAGAAUUGUGGUUACCGUAGCCCCGCAGUCCAUCUUUCCAUGCACUUGCUCGCGAAAGUUUUUGGCCAUGGAUACAACAGAUUUGCUUGUCAACAGGGACUGUUGUCUCUGCCGGGGGUGACACGGCGUCUUGCGUAUCUUCGUUCAAAAGGGGAAGCAAAUGGCGCACAAGCAUCGCUCAGACGCAUAUACCUCGAACGAGAUGGAUACGACCGACAGGGGUUCAGAAGCCACCGUCAACGAGAAAAACAACUACCCCUUCAAGAAUAAAAAGUAGUGGUAUAUCGGCAAUA
This is an RNA transcript of Dermacentor albipictus, 1418 nucleotides long. RefSeq lists it as uncharacterized. The record is from RefSeq and is a predicted model, not a curated record. NCBI's taxonomy places the organism in Eukaryota, Metazoa, Arthropoda, Arachnida, Ixodida, Ixodidae.